GUUCAAACAAUUUCAUGGACCCAGAACACAAAAGAAAAACAGGAGACGACAGCUCUGCCGUACUUCUGACUGAGAGGAAGGAGAAGUCAGAAAGAUGUGAAGCAUGACAAAAACGAUGCUUCACUGAUGGAUCUGAAGAUGGAGGAGCUCUGUGAGAAGGAAUAAAGGUGGUCUCUAGGAAAACACCCCACCACACAGCAAGCAAAGGAAAUAAGAACCUCAGACCUACAAAACUGCAAAGGACUGAAUUCAGCCAACAACCUGAAUGAGACUAGGAACAAAUUCCUCCACAGGGCCUUUAGAGAAGAGCCCAGUUACCCACACCUCAUGUGGGCUUUGCAACACUCUUUGGGAACCUGGGAGAUGGGCCUGAGACUCUGAGAAGCUAAAGAAGAUUUUUAGGGUCCAUAAGAUGAAAGAAAAC
Molecule: long non-coding RNA, 424 nt
Organism: Zalophus californianus (California sea lion)
Lineage: Eukaryota; Metazoa; Chordata; Mammalia; Carnivora; Otariidae
Exons: 3
Source: RefSeq, a predicted model, not a curated record